UACAGAGGGUGCAAGCGUUAAUCGGAAUUACUGGGCGUAAAGCGUGCGUAGACGGUUGCGUAAGCCAGCUGUGAAAUCCCCGGGCUCAACCUGGGCACUGCAGUUGGAACUGGCAAGCUAGAGUAGGGUAGAGGGGUGUGGAAUUCCAGGUGUAGCGGUGAAAUGCGUAGAUAUCUGGAGGAACAUCAGUGGCGAAGGCGACACCCUGGACUCAUACUGACACUGAGGUGCGAAAGCGUGGGGAGCAAACAGG
RNAcentral lists this ribosomal RNA (253 nucleotides) under uncultured bacterium. RNAcentral describes it as "partial 16S ribosomal RNA". It matches the Rfam family "Bacterial small subunit ribosomal RNA", at positions 524 to 776 of the family's 1533-position model. The record is from RNAcentral.